GAUUGAUUUUCCCAGUUGUAGGUCAAGCCCUAAUAUCUAUCUAAAAAAAGGCUCAGGAGUUUCUGACAUUGAAAUUGAUAUGAAGUAGCAAUUGAAACUUAGGUGAUAGAGUACCAAUAGCCUGUGGUUAUUGGUGCCUGUCUUAAGGCAGAAACAGGUUAAUAGAACAAAGAGGGUUGCCAUGGUCCGGGGGUGGGAUCAUAGGUCU
This 208-nucleotide long non-coding RNA is filed under the name Bos taurus (domestic cattle). RNAcentral's name for it is "long non-coding RNA NONBTAT023328". The record is from RNAcentral. Lineage: Eukaryota; Metazoa; Chordata; Mammalia; Artiodactyla; Bovidae.